Long non-coding RNA from Helianthus annuus (common sunflower), 4186 nucleotides. RefSeq lists it as uncharacterized. NCBI's taxonomy places the organism in Eukaryota, Viridiplantae, Streptophyta, Magnoliopsida, Asterales, Asteraceae. The transcript is spliced from 3 exons. The record is from RefSeq and is a predicted model, not a curated record.
UCAACUGAUUCUAGAAUCCAAACCCUAACCAUGCCCCUCCCUCCCCAUUCAACACCUUCUCUCUAAUAAUGGUUGUGUCUGGCUUCUUUGAUGUUGAAACCAUAGUCGGAAAGUUUUUCACUUUUACUGAUUGGAAGUUCGUUGUUCACAAAAUCCCCACACAAUCUCACCACAUUAUGCUUCAAUCCAUCAAGUUCGGUUGUAAUCGUAGAGAUCAACGACGAUAACGGCGGUGACAGAGGAGCAUUGGAUUUCGUGUCGAGUCUACCUAAACAAAAGGGAGUGUGAUUACUUUGCUUUGGCUGCCAGGUUACGAGUCCUAUGUUUUGGCUGCCAGGUUACUUCAGUUGCUAGUUGCAACCGACCACAUAAGCUUGUUUUCUUUAAAAGAUAAAAUGUGUGGUUAGGAUAAUUGCUCACAUGUUUGUUUUGGGAUUAUGUUGAAUUUAAACUUUAACAGUAAAAUUGAUGGCUUGAGUAGUUAUCCUAACUACACAGUAACCACCAGAUCCAGCUUUAAUCUCACCAUAAUCACUUUAUAAUCACUUUGCAAUGCACAGUGCACUAAUUCGUAUAUGAUUUGCAUUAACAUUCAACUUGAACCCCAGUUUUUGAUUGGUUAACUGUCCCUGUCUCCCUACCCGACCUUACUUGCUCUUUUGCCUGGCUUACAUUCAAGAGUUAGGAUUAGAUAAUUUUCUGCAACAAAGUGAUUAAAGGUAGAGAUAGGUAUUUUUACAAUUAAAUUCAGAAUUAAUUUCUUUCUAGAAGUUUCUUACGUGUUGGAUUUCAUUCGAAUUUGCAGCGGAUAAAUGAGAGUAUUGCAUAUCAGAAUUCAUGAUGAUGAACGAUUUAGAAAACUCAAAUAUGAAUGUGAUAAGUGAGAACGAUUGAACACAAGAGAAUGGACAGAAAACUUAUGGAAAUAAUCUGUCUUGGUACCGGACAAGUCAUAUAUAUACAUUAGAUUAUGGCGGUUAAUUUUUGGCGGCAAUAACUGUCAAAUGACAGUUUAAACAUUACCCGCUAAUGUUCUUGAUCCGCACAUAAUACUUGACCCAUACAUAAUACAUAAUACGAAUGUAACAUACUUAAUACAUAACCAUAAUAAUAAUAAAGUUUAAUUAACUUGACUAACACCCUCCCGUAAACUUGAUUAUGGUUUCAUCAUGACACUCUUGUUGGCUUCAUCGACCGUUUUUCGUGCUUCACUGAAGUUGAAUCUACGCCUUUUCUUGUGAAUAUUCCAUGACCCAUUCCAACUGUUUCUUGUGAACAAAGCAUAAUGCUCAGUUGCACUAUCAUUCGGUGAUAAAUCAGCAUCAGCACUUUUGCUUUUUCUUGAUCUUUCGUAUCCAGCCAUGGUGGUUCCUUCUUGUUCCAGCAUUUCCUUGUCUUGUGCCUUCUUUUGUACCGACUUGAACUUGUAAUAAAAUACUAGAACAUCUAAAUACAUCGCAUAGAUAAUUCUAAUAAAAUCCCCAUCUUGAUAUUCGAAACCAAGAUCUUUUGCUAUAGCUGGCCAUAAAUUAUCCAUUGUGACACCUUGAUAGCCUCCAUCCUUUUCGACCAUAAUGUACAGACUAAGCAAAUCUAUCUUCCUUCCAUCAUCGAACUGUGGUGGUAUUGCUCGUGAAGUUAUUUCCAUCUUUUCUUUUAAGAACCAACCCACCAUAGUUUCAAAUUUUAUCUCUGAAUCAUGCUUGUACUUAAACACGAAAUCCCGAUCAUCAAUCAUAUCUAACAGAGCUUGACAGUCAGAGAAUUCUUUGAAUUCUAACGCCCUUAUGAUCAUAAGACUCCAAUCAAAUUCAUAUUCAUUCGAAACAUUUAAUGUUUCGAAGUAUGAAUUUAAGUAGUCUUGUUUAUAUCUUUCGUUCACAUCGUUCAGGUUUAAGACUUUCUGUCUUUCUUUCAGCCCUAAUUCUUCUUCUUUUGACAAACUAGAAACAUCACUUAUGGUGUUUAACACGGGUGUAGAAAACAUCGGGUAGAUUCUACAAGUAUCACCGCUUUUCUUGACAGUGAAACCUUGUAACGUUAAUUGAUUCAUGCUUAGAACAUUUCUGUUCAAUUCGGGGGUAUAAAAAACACUUUGUAUCUUUACAGUUUCGUUGUUAGAUUUAACAUCUACAUUCCCUAUACCCCGGAUGAACAAGAAAUCAUUUUCACCGUUUUUCGUAUCAACACCAAUUAAAUGCUUAAUCCUUUUAAAGACAUUAAUAUUACCGGCGUAAUGAUGAGAGAACGAGUAACUGACAUACCAUAUGUCAUUCCACUGGCCACCAUCCGUGCCAGUAACGAUCAUUUCACCCCGAUCUCCUGCAUCUAUCCCUUGUUUUUGGAUUCCGGUGUUAACCGCUUGAUUAACUAAUUGUGUUGCUUCGUCGUUUUCUUUUGAUUUGCAGCAAUAAAUCUGAUGCCCUGGCCGGUGACAAUAGAAACAUAAUUUCACCCUUCGUUUGUUUUUCACUCCUUCAUGUUGUUCGUCAUUACAGUGUUGGCAUGGUAGUGUUGUAGAAGAUAUUCUGAUUUCUGCAGGGAUUCUUGAUGCGGCUCUGAUACCACUUUGUUGGAUUUCAUUCGAAUUUGCAGCGGAUAAAUGAGAGUAUUGCAUAUCAGAAUUCAUGAUGAUGAACGAUUUAGAAAACUCGAAUAUGAAUGUGAUAAGUGAGAACGAUUGAACACAAGAGAAUGGACAGACAACUUGUGGAAAUAAUCUGUCUUGGUACCGGACUUGGUUACCGGACAAGUCAUAUAUAUACAUUAGAUUAUGGCGGUUAAUUUUUGGCGGCAAUAACUGUCAAAUGACAGUUUAAACAUUACCCGCUAAUGUUCUUGAUCCGCACAUAAUACUUGACCCACACAUAAUACAUAAUACGAAUGUAACAUACUUAAUACAUAACCAUAAUAAUAAUAAAGUUUAAUUAACUUGACUAACAUUACGUGCUUCUUAAUUUUUGGCUAUUUUGACUCUAAAAGAUAAGAAAUAUUGGAGUUUCGUCCCUUUUAGACCUGGCAAACGGGUCGGGUCAUGUGUCAAAACGGGUUCGGGUCAAAACGGGUCAAUUAAAAAAGUGUUGUUUUGGUUCGGGUCGAAACUGGUUUGGGUCGGAAUGGGUUCGGGUCAGAACGGGUUUCGGGUCGGGUUGGUUAAAAAAUGUUUUUUUUUCAGCCCAAGAUUGCAACCAAUGGUGGAUUAUUUGAUUGUUCUUGGGAGAUUACUGGAGAAGAAGCAGAGUUAUUCAGGGAAAAACGGACUUGCUCGCAGGUUGAAGAAGAUGCUUGUCGAACUUAACGAAUAUGAUGAUCAUGCCCGUCACAUUUCUAGAACCUUCAAUUUAAAAGAAGCUCUUUAGUUUCUGCCUUGUCACACAACUGCUCAGUAUUUGGGGUGAUAUGCUGCAUACUAUAGAAGAUCAAGUCUUUUUUACUUAUGCUUGACGAGAUGAGUUUCCUGCACUCCCAGUAGUAGUUGCUGAUUAUUUCGUACCUCAGGUAUGUGCUCACAUGUCAUAGUAUUUCAGUUGAAGCUCUAGUAUAAAAAUCAACCACAUAAAUAAAAUCUAUUGUAAACGUCAAAGUUUCGUAUUAGUACACAUAAUCUUAUUCUGUUAUAGUUGUAUACCUGGUUAAAGCUCUCCCGACUUCAAACAUAACCUGUUAUUUAUGUAUCAAUUUAUUGUUUAACCGUUAUGAGCCUCUUUUCAUAUGGCUUUAUUGACAGACCAUUGAAGCCAUAUUUCCCUUUUACUGGCCCAAACUAAAUAAUUCAGCUCAGUUUGCAUCUUAUAUGGUUUUUAACUGUCACUUGAAUAUAGUGUACUUCAAGAAAGCCUAUAAACACUUUGACCAUUCAUUUUGAGUGUGUGACAAAAAAGACUAUCUUAUGUUGAUCUUAUGUAAAUAUUUGUCUCUUCAUUGUAAAGUGUUCUCGACUUUGAUCUUGGUUCCUUUUUGACCAUUGAAGAAGGUAUCUUUGUACUCAAAGCUAAACCUGGUGACACUCAUCUUGGUGGUGAGGAUUUUGACAACAUAAUGGUUAAAGAAUGAAGUUUCUAGCUUUCAUUCAAAAAAUUGUUUGUUGUGUUUCAAAUGUUUGAUAUUUAGAAUUAGUUUUGACUCUUUAGAAAUUUGUUUGUAAACCUUUGCAAUGUUUGGAAGACAGAUUCAAUUUUUAAUUGAA